Molecule: non-coding RNA, 45 nt
Filed under: Schistosoma mansoni
Lineage: Eukaryota; Metazoa; Platyhelminthes; Trematoda; Strigeidida; Schistosomatidae
Source: RNAcentral
AUCCAUAUGACGAGUACCAAAUAGGACGAAAUGCGCGUCCUGUAU